UCCUCCGACCCGGAGUGGAUUCUUCUCCGCUGUAUAGCUUCCGUCCUACAGCGGUCUUUUCCCUUUCAUUUUCUCUUCCAGUUGGUUGUACCCUUUACACUCCCUUAAGAGUGACUGGCAUCUGGAUGAAGAGUAAGAGGUUUCUUUACUACUAAUAGGCUCCUUUCCUCUUUGUUCAAAUGCUCGGAAAUCUUCAACUUCAAAUGGGCAAGAAAGCCCGAGAGUCAGGUAAGCAUGCCUAGCUUGAUGCUUUAUAGAAUAUUG
Molecule: unclassified non-coding RNA, 264 nt
Filed under: Hevea brasiliensis (rubber tree)
Lineage: Eukaryota; Viridiplantae; Streptophyta; Magnoliopsida; Malpighiales; Euphorbiaceae
Source: RNAcentral